AGAUUGAACGCUGGCGGCAUGCCUUACACAUGCAAGUCGAACGGUAGAGUAGCAAUACUCGAGAGUGGCGAACGGGUGAGUAAUAUAUCGGAACGUGCCCAGUCGUGGGGGAUAACGUAGAGAAAUUUACGCUAAUACCGCAUACGAUCUACGGAUGAAAGCGGGGGAUUCGCAAGAACCUCGCGCGAUUGGAGCGGCUGAUAUCAGAUUAGGUUGUUGGUGAGGUAAAAAGCUCACCAAGCCGACGAUCUGUAGCUGGUUUGAGAGAACGACCAAGCCACACUGGGACUGAGACACGGCCCAGACUCCUACGGGAGGCAGCAGUGGGGAAUUUUGGACAAUGGGCGAAAGCCUGAUCAGCAAUGCCGCGUGCAGGAAGAAGGCCUUGGUUGUAAACUGACUUUUUAGUACGGAACGAAACGUCCUUCUAAUAAAGAGGCUAAUGACGACCGUAAGAAUAAGCACCGACUAACUACGUGCCAGCAGCCGCGUAA
RNAcentral lists this ribosomal RNA (494 nucleotides) under uncultured soil bacterium. RNAcentral's name for it is "bacterial SSU rRNA". It matches the Rfam family "Bacterial small subunit ribosomal RNA", at positions 26 to 522 of the family's 1533-position model. The record is from RNAcentral.